CCUACGGGAGGCAGCAGUGGGGGAUAUUGCACAAUGGGGGAAACCCUGAUGCAGCGACGCCGCGUGAGUGAAGAAGGAAUUCGUUAUGUAAAGCUCUAUCCGCUGGGAAGAAAAUGACGGUAGCUGAGGAAGAAGCCCCGGCUAACUACGUGCCAGCAGCCGCGGUAAUACGUAGGGGGCAAGCGUUGUCCGGAUUUACUGGGUGUAAAGGGAGCGUAGACGGCAGUGCAAGUCUGGAGUGAAAGGCGGGGGCUCAACCCACGGACUGCUCUGGAAACUGUACGGCUUGAGUGCAGGAGAGGUAAGUGGAAUUCCUGGUGUAGCGGUGAAAUGCGUAGAUAUUAGGAGGAACACCAGUGGCGAAGGCGGCUUACUGGACUGUAACUGACGUUGAGGCUCGAAAGCGUGGGGAGCAAACAGGAUUAGAUACCCGGGUAGUC
Molecule: ribosomal RNA, 440 nt
Filed under: uncultured bacterium
Lineage: Bacteria
Description: partial 16S ribosomal RNA
Rfam family: Bacterial small subunit ribosomal RNA
Source: RNAcentral